GUAUUUUAAGACCAAAGUUGAUGAUGUGCAUUUUAUUUAGGACAGUCACCAUAUGCUACAGUAUAUAAACAUAGCAUUUUUACAUAGUCUGUAUCAAACAACAAACAAAAUGAAAGGCUUCGUACUGAUGUCAGUCGUGUGUUUAUUAUUUAUUACAAUAAGCACUAACAAUGUGGCAGAAGGUAAUCUUUGUUUUAUUUAUUUUGCUUAAUUGAAUAAUUAAGAAUUUAAGUCCGCUCAGCUGUCUUUUGAAGAUCAUAUAACUAUUAACGAAAGAGGCUUAUUGAAAACCAAAUGUGUUCUUGAAACAAAUCUAGUAUAUAUGUCGUUUACAGGUUAUUACUUGUACAAAAACUUUGUAUGAGUAAUUACUAAUAUGAUGCCAUCAUACAAGUUAUUACCUGUACAAAUAUAAUUGUACCAUGCAGUAAUUACUUGUACAAUUUUUGUUGAGAAAAAGAUAAUAACUUGUACAACACAAUAUAUUUGAGUUGACUGUGCUUCUACUUUUGCUUUAAACAAAAUGUUUCAUAGAAAAAGUUAUUUUUUUGAGUUAGUAAGUCUGGAAUUGUUUUGUGAAUUGUCGGGUAUUAUUUUUCUUUUACUGUUUUCUCGUAUUUAUUUAUUUGUUUGUUAAUUUUUGUUGAGCCUUCGACUUUAGUCGAAAAAGGGAGACAUAACGAUCGUACAUUCCGUCGGCGGCGGCGUCCACAAAUAUUCACUCUUUGGUUAAAGUUUUUGAAAUUUUAAUAACUUUCUUCAACCAUCCUAGAUUUGUAUUUUUCCGUAUUUAACUUAUAAAUGGACUAAGUUUUUCUGCCCAUUCACUCUGUGGUUAAACUUUUUAAAAUUCUAAUAAACUAUCCUGGAUUUUUACCAAACUUUGACAGAAGCUUCUUGAAAUAAAAAAAUAGUAUAGAGAGGAAUGUUUUUAUUGUUUGUUUUACUCAUUUUUGUUGAGCCUGCCAUUAACAGCAAAAGUAGGCGAGCCACUGGAUUCAUUGGAACCCUUACUUUUUUUUCUUAUCAUAGAGCGUAUGUUUUUUUGAAAUCUAUAUUGUGAUGUUUUUCUUUUCUUUUUUUCAAAUGUGUAUUCUGUACUUAGCGUUGUUUUUUGUUGUUGUUGUUGUUGUAUGGGGUAUACAAGUACCCGGCCACGUCCCCUCUGUGUAGUAUUUCUGAUUGUAUCCAUUUGAUGACUUAAGCCUCUUUCAACUGAUUUGUUUAGUUCGUUCUUAUGUUGUAAUGUUACACACUGUCCCAGGAAAGGGGAGGGUUGGGACCCUGUUAACAUGUUUAACCAAACCACAUUAUGUAUGUGUCUGUCCCAAGCCUGUCAUUCAAGGGUUGUCGCUUGCCGGUGUGUUAUAAAAAAAAAUGUUCAUUUUUGUACAUAAAUAAGGCCGUUAGUUUUCUCGUUUAAAUUGUUUUACCAAGGAAUCCAGUGGCUCGCCUACUUUUAUUUACAUUUGCCAUUUCGAGGCCUAUUAAAGCUUCCUAUGCGGUAUGGGCUUUGCUCAUUGUUGAAGGCCGUGUGGUAAUCUAUGUUUUUUUAAUUUCUAUGUCAUUUGGGCUCUUGUGGAGAGUUGUGUCAUUAGCAAUUAUAUAACAUCUUUUUUAUAUUAGUAUUAUUUUUGAAAAGUUAGAAGAAUUCAGACACCCGACGAACGCAGAGAAACAACAUAACUUAGCAUGAGACAUUGAGCUAAUUUAGCUUAACAGCUUGUUGCAACUUAAAUACUGAUAAAUGGUGCAAAGUGACAAAGUCGUUAAAAGCAAAAAUAAAUAAAACCCUUCUACAAUUUAUUUUCAAACAUAAAUCUUGUAAAACAGUUGCAUAUGAAAUAUCAUAUAUUUGAAUUAAAGGUAAAACCUAAACGAUCAAAGUAGAAGCACAUACAACUCAAAUAUAUUGUGUUGUACAAGUUAUUAUCUUUUUCUCAACAAAAAUUGUACAAGUAAUUACUGGUACAAUUAUAUUUGUACAUGUAAUAACUUGUUAACAUACUAUAUAGUAAAAAAUCAUUUCUGUAGAUCACCGAAAGGGGAAGUGGUCUAGAACACAGUAUUAUUUUAUUUAGGGGGUUCACUAUACACGCAAAUUUUUAUUAGUCUUCACUUCAAGGUUAAUCGAGCAAAUUUUAUUUAAUAAGGCUUUUUACAGUUUUUUUUACUUUACUACGGGCUCAUAAGGAUCUUAAAUCUGAUUUUAUUGCUGUGUCCACAAUAGACACAGCAAUAUUAUUCUACGUAUUUCACCUGUAUCGGUUUGGACAAUUCCAUGGACUAUUCCAUACACACACCAUUAUGCUUAAGGGGUUUUCAUAUGUCAUGUCAAGAUGAUAUAGGCUAUUUACCGUUGUUUGCCACAAAAAAAAAUCUGGUAAAGUCACUUUUCUGAAAAACCAAUAUAAAUAUAGUUAACAUAUUUAUAUAUUUAAUCUAACUGUGUUCAUUGACCCGAAUUUUUUAAUGACAACACACACCUAAAAUUCGUUUUGGUCUAUUCCAUGACAUUUGCGCGGGAAAUAUUCAUCAGAGACUUUAAUAAUUUUAAUGGACGUUCAUUUGGAAAAUUUUACUAUCUAUUUUAUGUGAACAAUUGUCAUAUGUUUUUGUUUUUCAUACAUUUAAAGGAUCAACGUUAUUUAAAUUCCGUAUAUCUUCAUUUGACAUCAGGUUUGUACGCAUUUAGUCUCUUCUCUAGUCUAUAAUCAAAACUGAAGGCCGCGAAGGGACACAUGUCAUGAUGACACGUGCUGCACAAUCCCACACAUUUCACAUUAUGUAAUAAAAUUCUACUGUUUGCGAUAAAAAUAUUCACUGUUUAGGGGUGUUGAAAUUAUUAGGUCUUGCAUAGUUGAUGCGUAUCCGAUCCGUGAUUUGUAUAUAUUUCAAUGGUGCUCUCGGUAAGGCCAAAAAAAUAUAUGUUUGAUUAUGGGUACCUGACCGAUCCUAUUUUGAGCACCCACCCUAAGCCAUUUUAUUGCCGUCGUAAGAAAUAAUCCAAUCAUUAUAAAUAGGGGAACUCUCGCCCCAUGGACAACUCGGACCACACAAUUCCAAAAUCAUGGCACAAAAAAUAAAUGGAUGGACAAAUAAUAAAAAAGAAAAUACCGACCUACCUACCUACCCUACAUAUUUUGAUGAUGUAACCUUAAACAGACAUGUUAGUUUUUCGUUUGAAUUGUUUUACAUUGUCUUAUCAGGGCCUUUUAUAGCUGACUGCGGUAUGGGCUUUGCUCAUUGUAACAUGUACAACAAUCAAACAUCAAACCCACACUAAAACUGAAUGUAAUUGUAACAUGUACAACGAAUCAAACAUCAACCCACACUAAACUGAAUGUAAUUGAAAGACAUCUAGAGGUGAUAUCAGAGGUGGAUUUAGGGGGGGGGGGCCUGCUUUUUGAGAAAAAUUUGGUUGCUUAUAUAGGGAAUCACUGAAUCGUGACUGGAGCGAGCCCCCUCUUAGGUCAGUCAGUGGGCUCCCACUUUAGAAAAUUUCUGGAUUCGCCACUGGAUAUACAGUAUCGAACAGAAGAUAAAAAAAAGGGAACAAUAUGGUGAAUUUUUAGAGAUUAAUAUUAUUUCAUGUACAUGCAUUUGAAAUAUUUAAGAUAUAUUGUUUCCCUUUUUUUUGUUCUAGGUUCCACGGUGACCUAGCUUCCAUUUUCGAAAACUGUGAUUUAAAUGCUAGUCUAUUAGAGGGAUAUUUCCUUUUCAUUGGUUGUAGAUAUGGAAUCUUAUUUUUAUACCAUGAAGUCAGAUUUGAAAAUGACUUUGGGAAUGAAGAUAUCGUAAAGACUGAAUGUCAGUUUUAGUCUUAUAUAUCUAUAAUACUAAAAUUACGAGGUCCAAUUUGUCAGCCGUCAUCGCUUAAAAACGACGAAUCAAAGAAUUCGACUUUAUAUAUAACUAAUAUAGUACAAAGGUGUAGAUUAAAAAUUACACCACUCCAGGCCCUUUUGUUUUCCACGUAAUUAAUAUUGCCAAUAAUUAAGAAGUUCCGGAUCGAGUCCGAUACCGAUACCAAAAAUUAAUAGUAUAUUCACCUGUUACCGAUUACCUUAUUUGUACGUUCCGCGUCUGACAGGUGCACCACCAAACGGUGUAUUCAGGAUUAAUAUGCUAUAUACACGGGUCGUAUCCACAGGGUUGAAACUACUAAAUUGUCAAAUUUUAAUCAGUUUAGACUUUCUAAGAUACAUUGUAACAAUACAAAUACUAAAAUCUGGACUAAAAAUAAGGCGUAUAGGUACAGUUUUCAAUUUGUUAGCCGGCAUGACGUAAAACAGCGAAUCAAAGAAUUCAAUUUUAUUUACAACUAAUACAUGUAUGUAUAUGACAAUGCUGUUGAUUAAAAAAAUUACUCCAUUCCAGGAACUUUUGUUUUUUCAAAUAAUUAAUAUUACCAAUAAUUGAUAAGUUCCAGUUCGACGGUUUCAAUCAGAAAGAUUUGAAAGCAGAGAAAACUGUGUAUCGUUUAAUCGGCAUAACUUUAUCAGAUAAAAAUACUAAUACUAAAAUAAGGCUUGCACAUAGUUAUAUACGUUAACUCAGUCAUGGACCUGCGAUACCACGUGUCUGUUCUAGUGUACUUUAUAAUUUUAGUCUUGCAUGUACAUAAUUAUGUGUACAUAUAUCACUGAUUCAGUGGCAAUGGUAAAUAGACACUGACAAGUCUUAGAUUUAUAAUAUUUUAUAGUUUUGAAUGUUUUGUCCGUUGACUAAAAUUAGGUGGAGGUUUGUGUGUUCUUAUUUCCAACAGAGGUAAACUCAACACAUAUCAAUAUGUGCAUGAAGCAAAUUGAUAGUUGCUAGAUACGGAAUGAUUGUACCACAAGAAAGUUUAAACCUGUGUGUAUAUACUUAAAAUAUGAUAAAAAAAAUCAUGUCUUUUUCAGGACUUCUGAAUCCAACCAUGUAGUAUGGAAUGUUUUUGAGAUGCGGUUUUGGUCGAUGGAUGUUAAUGAAGGACCUGUAGUACAAAGUAUAUCACUGAAUUUAGCUCUUUGUCUAAGUGUAUUAUUGAAUACUUUGCUUUGAGCUCAGUUCAUUGUUAUGCAAAUCAUUCUUUGUGAAAUAAAGAUUUGACAGAAAACUCUCAUGUACAAGGAUUUGUCAAAGUAGUAUCACCUCUAUUUACAAUGUAAGUAUUAGGGAGAUAAAAGCAUUCUAUAUUGAUUUGAACCAAAUAUAUUAUAAAAAAAAAAGAACAAAUUUACCCGAGAAUGCUACUACCACUACUAGCAAUAUGAUGCUAGGUUGUUUUAAUACAUCUGUACUAGCUGCCUACUGAUGACUCGGUUCUGAGUGUAAAUGGUCCUUCAACUAUGCAGGGAAAAAUUAUAAGGCAUAUCUAGGCUUAUCAAUUUCUAAAACAAUAUUUCAUCGUACAUGUUUGAAAUUUUAAACAACCACAGAAAUUUUUGCAGUUGAAAUACAUGUAUGUAUCCUGUCGUCGUCUUCCCAAGACGGAUGGUUUCCAGAUAAUAACUUCAGUAUAAGUAAAAAGGAAGCCUUAAAAUUAUAACAUACUGUGGAUUCAUUUAUUUUCGUGGGUACCAAUUUUCGUGGAUUAAAGAAAGUUUGCAAUUUGUGGAUAUUUAAUUUCGUGGUUUUGCCGAAGUCUGCAUACAAGCCUAUAGAAAAUUUGUUAAUCGUUGAACAUUUAAUUUAAUAAGACUCUAGCCACAAAAGCCACGAAAAUUGGUAUCCAAAGAAUAAUAAUGCAUCCACAGUAAUAUUUAUAAUCAUAAAAGGAAGCCUGGGAUUGUUUUGGGGGGUUAUAUAUAUAGUCCCUAAGGUUUAGGAAUAAGGGUUCCAAAGGUGACCAAAACAAGCAUUAAUCUAGUGUCCGUACAAAAAGUUGUGUAUAAGUAUUUCAAUUGUUCUGAAAUUGUACCAUAAUAUUGAAUACCAUAAGUAGAAGGUUGAGGUCUAUUUUGUGGGUUAUGGGUCAAACAGUCUAGGAAUUAAGGGCCAAAAACAAACAUUUUUGUAGAUUCCAGACAAUAAAUUUGAGUUAUUUCUUUGUCCAGAAUGGUUGUUGAAUUACCUAAAACCAAUGCUUUAUGAAAUCUUCUUUAAAAAUUGGAGUUUAGAUUUCUCUGUCCAUAAUAGUAGUUGAAUCAACUUAAAAUAAUGCUAUACAUGUAUAUACACUAUACUAUGCAAAAUUCACUUUACUACCAACUGAUAAAUUUAAGCAGUCUUUAAUAGCCAUUCAGUGAUUACAAGCACUUUGAUUAUCAUUCUAGGGUUAUGCCCUUUCACAAAUGGAAAAAUUUCUCAAGUUUGUCUCAACUAAAUUUAGUGAAAUGUGUAUAUAAUGCUUAUUACCUCUAAACUCAGUUUAAGUUCAAUUUUUGGCAGCUUCACUUUAUGUACCUUUUUAACGUUAUAUGCUAGCGGGGGCAUCAUCACCAUGACUGUAUGACAUUUAUAUUUUAAUACUUAAUGUUUUAUUAAAAUGAGUAGUUGAAUAAUUAUUGUUGCAAACUCCAUUAGAAAUUUGAUUUGAGAUCAUUUUUAUACCACCACAAAAAUUGAAAACUUUUUGGUUGUACAUUUGUAUCACGUUGGCGUCAUCGUCUUCAUCCAAAGACAUUUGGUUUUAGCACUCUAACUUAAGUAAAAGUCAAUAGAAAUAUAUGAAAUUUAGACACAAGGUUUAUGACCAUGAAAGGAAGGCUGGGAUUGUUUUUGGUAUUUUGGUCUCAACAGUUUAGGAAAAAGGGCCCAAAUUUAGCAUUGUUCUUGGUUUUUGCUCUAUAACUCAAGUAUUAGUAAACAGAAAUCUAUGAUAUUUUAACAUAAGGUCUAUGGCCACACAAGGAGGGUUGGAAUAGAUUUUGGUAGUUUUAGUCCCAACAGGGUAGGAUUUAGGAACCAAAAACAGGUCCCAAAUAAGCAUUUUUCUUGGUUUUUUUAACAAUACCUUUAGCAUAAGUUAAUAGAAAUCUAUAAAGGUUUAUGACCACAAAAUGAAGGUUUGGAUUAUUUUUGGGAGUUUUGGUCCCAAGGAAUAAGGGUCCAAAAUUAAACUUUGUUUGCUUUCAUCAAAAAAAUGAAUUAUUGUGCUUCUUUGAUAUGCCAAAUCUAACCGUGUUAAGAUUCUUAAUUUUUGGUCCUGUUUUUAAAUUGAUCUACAUUAAGGUCCAAAGGGUCCAAAUUUAAAAUCAGCUUGAUUUUAACAAAAAUGAAUUUUUGGGGUUCUUUGAUAUGGUGAGUCUUAACAUGUACUUAGAUUUUUGAUUAUGGGCCCAGUUUUCAAGUUGGUCCGAUCAAAAAUUGAAUUCUUCGGGUUCUAUGAUAUUCUGAAUUUAACCAUGUAUUUAGAUUUUGGAUAUUGGACCAAAAUAGGUAAAUGUCCAAUUUAAAAUUUUUAAGUUGAAGUUCUUUAUAGACCACAUUCAAUCUGUGUCAGAAACCUAUGUUGUGUCCAUACUAGCCCCAACCGUUCAGGUUUCCACCUCUGCAGUCGUAUAAAGCAGCACCCUGCGGAGUAUCUGUUCCAUUCAUUUGUUUUUUCUUAAUUUGUGUGAAUUAACAUUGUUACAGUAAAUGCUAAUUACUACACUUGCAUACCACAACAAAUACUGUAUUGGUACAUGUAUCACUUAUAUUUGUAUCCAUAUAACAAAACAAAAAAUGAAAAGGAAUAAUUUUGCAAUACCUUUUGAGUACUAAAUAGCUUUUUAGGUAUUUAGACAUAUUCUAAGACUUAUUAAGUAGAUGUUGAUGAUAUCUGCUUGACAUGCUUCAAAUUCGAUCAGAUUACUUUUGGAGCAGUUGUGAGUCUUUGAAGCAUGCUCACAAAGGUUCUUUUGGUCAAAAUUUGUCUUUGCUUCGACCAGCUUUGGAGGAGAUAUAAAUCAGCACAGAGGUUUACUUCCGAUCUUAUUUAGCCCCAAUAAUCAUGUCAGACUUAAGCCAUUGUCAUUACUUAAAACCAAUAAAUGUAUUCUAAUCUGAGGAAGAAAUUCGACAUUUUAAAUUUUUUUUUUACUAAUGAUACUGACGAUCCACCACAAAGUAAUGUAAAUAGAACCAUACCAAUAGUAAGCAAAUACAUAUAAAAAAAGAUGAGGUAUGAUUGCCAAUGAGACAAUUCUCCACAAGAGACCAAAUCGACACAGAAAUUAACAAUUCCCAGCUACAAAAUGUAUCCAAAACCAAAGAUGUAGAACAUGUUCUAUCAUAAUCAUUUGGUAACUAAUGUAAUUACUGUCUCCCCAUGUCUGUAUUGAACAUAAAAAAAUAUCAAAUAAAUAACACUCCUAAUGCUCAGAUCGGUUGUCACCGUGCAACACAGUUAUUAACACCAUAUAGGAAAAACAUAGAACUUUAUUGUCAUAAGACACUGUCAAACAUCCAAACACACUAUCCACACUCAUCUGUGUCCACACUUGUAUUGAUAUAAUAAACCUUGCAACAAAAAAACCGGUUCAGCUACCAGUAAAAUGACAACUAGCAUGAACAAAGACGUUAAUAGCGCAUCGACUGUUCGAAAGCAGGGUAAACAUGUUUGCUACAACAGUAAGCAAGAAAAGCUAUUCACGGCUGUUUCUGAAAUCAGUAGAACAGUUUAAGUAAAAGAAAAUCCAAAAAGUGCUUUUAACAGAUUUCGUUGGUCCUCUUCAAUAUAUAUUUUAUAGUAUAUAACUUCUUUACCUAUGCCGUACUCACCACCAAUAUAAAACAUUUGCAAUAACUUUAUUUGAUAAAAAAUUAAUAGGCAACAUAAAAGCAUAUUACUUACAUAAAAAAAAACUCCUCAUCAUUUGCACAUCAAAGAAAAAGCCUCAUUUUUUGUAUUUAAACAAUAUUUUUUUCUUUCAGGUCGUCCACCGCCAUGCUGUGCUUGCGUCCGAGCACCGUGUAAUUGUCCACCAUGCAGUCCACCCUGGCCAACAUACAAACCACGACGACGAUAUCCUCAUUACGGAUAAACUUAUUUUUACAAAAAUCUGAUUAAAUAAUUUGAUUAUUUGAGUUUACAAAAUAGUUAGAAGGCAUGACAACAUUGUACCAAAGUAUUCAAAAUAAAAUUGUGUUAUUUUAACUAGUU
Molecule: long non-coding RNA, 9073 nt
Filed under: Mytilus galloprovincialis (Mediterranean mussel)
Lineage: Eukaryota; Metazoa; Mollusca; Bivalvia; Mytilida; Mytilidae
Source: RNAcentral